UGCAGUCGAGCGGAACGAGUUAUCUGAACCUUCGGGGGACGAUAACGGCGUCGAGCGGCGGACGGGUGAGUAAUGCCUAGGAAAUUGCCCUGAUGUGGGGGAUAACCAUUGGAAACGAUGGCUAAUACCGCAUAACGCCUACGGGCCAAAGAGGGGGACCUUCGGGCAUCUCGCGUCAGGAUAUGCCUAGGUGGGAUUAGCUAGUUGGUGAGGUAAGGGCUCACCAAGGCGACGAUCCCUAGCUGGUCUGAGAGGAUGAUCAGCCACACUGGAACUGAGACACGGUCCAGACUCCUACGGGAGGCAGCAGUGGGGAAUAUUGCACAAUGGGCGCAAGCCUGAUGCAGCCAUGCCGCGUGUGUGAAGAAGGCCUUCGGGUUGUAAAGCACUUUCAGUCGUGAGGAAGGUAGUGUAGUUAAUAGCUGCAUUAUUUGACGUUAGCGACAGAAGAAGCACCGGCUAACUCCGUGCCAGCAGCCGCGGUAAUACGGAGGGUGCGAGCGUUAAUCGGAAUUACUGGGCGUAAAGCGCAUGCAGGUGGUUUGUUAAGUCAGAUGUGAAAGCCCGGGGCUCAACCUCGGAAUUGCAUUUGAAACUGGCAGACUAGAGUACU
This 613-nucleotide ribosomal RNA is filed under the name Gammaproteobacteria bacterium RtA03s. RNAcentral describes it as "bacterial SSU rRNA". It matches the Rfam family "Bacterial small subunit ribosomal RNA", at positions 56 to 650 of the family's 1533-position model. Lineage: Bacteria; Pseudomonadati; Pseudomonadota; Gammaproteobacteria. The record is from RNAcentral.